Long non-coding RNA from Papilio machaon (common yellow swallowtail), 2054 nucleotides. RefSeq lists it as uncharacterized. The transcript is spliced from 3 exons. Lineage: Eukaryota; Metazoa; Arthropoda; Insecta; Lepidoptera; Papilionidae. The record is from RefSeq and is a predicted model, not a curated record.
UUGUAGUGUAUAGUAAUCAACAAUGGUAUCGUUGUCGAAUUUGAAAGCUGUGCAUUAUAAAAUUUCGCUUUCUAUUGAGAAUUCCGCAUAGAGGAAAUUAGCGGGAGAAUGUGAGUAGGAAUGAGUCAGGUGCGCGACGUCACUGGCCUGAGUCACGGCGGUGACGUCGGCACCCACUCGCCGCUGCCGCCGCGCAGCUGCCUGCCCUCACAUCAUAGUGUCGACGAUCUACCGUAGAUUAUUUAUGCUGCGACGCCCACAGGCCGGUUGGGCUCCAGCGCCUCCGCUUCCGGCAGCCCUCACAUUGCGGUGUCGCAAGCGUUUCUUUUGCUCCUGCCGUCGUCGUCGCCGUCGCUAUUAUAAUAGGGAUAGCUUUAUGACUCAGACUUCAAGCUCCACUAACGAGUCGAACUUACGCAGAGUUGACAAAAGAGAAUUUUGUGAGGGAGGCCGAGCGCGUUUUGGACAUCCGUAAUGGCGGCGGCGGCAAGUCUCUGCAACGCAAAGCCGUCGGGACGUGCAGGUCGGCACUCGCCGCUCGGGAAUCAGUCCCACGAUAACGCAUUGAAGGGUCGCUCCAUAAAAAGCGAUCAUUAUAAAGGACGUAAAGACCGCACCGGCGCCGAGCCUUCCCAGAACUGGGCCCAUUCUUAUUUCGCGCUCCCGCCUUAUUCACGGGGAUUUUUUGUUCGUUUUUGGUUAUAUUUUUUGUGUUGCGCGAGCGGCGCUUUCGUGAGAGCUUCGAGGAAACGGCUUAUUGGGUUUCGUACAGGAGAUGGGGCUUAUCUCGAGGCGUCGAUCGGCGCGUCGGCCUGGGAACGUUACGCUCGGAGCUCGCAGGACCGUUAGCCGCAUUCCACCGCCGCUUCGUCGCCGCGCCGGCGCCGCAACACCCUUGUGUCGUUAGGUUCACCGGGACGCGGUCGUGACGCGCUAGAGAAAAACGAAAUCUGCAUGGCCUGCAAACAUCUAACGACGUGACAGAUGUUUUUUGCGAUGACAAAGAUCCUACAUAGAGAGGCGUAAAGAAGCGGCCAACCGACCGUCAACUAUGAGCCCGACACCGUCGCGAACCCGCCGGGCACCACUGCGCCAACUUACAAGAGCGCUGCGAGGCAGCGACACGCGGCCUGAGUCAGCAUGAUGUCAUGCAUGCGGGGCGCGAGGGGCGGCUUCUAAUGGAGCAUCCCGCCAGUGUCACGUCACGUCCCAUUCCCGCCGCAUACUUCAACCAAUCGAGCGAUGACAAAUCCAUUCAUAUUCCUAUAUCCUAUUGUGCCCACAUACUUGUUUAGACUCUUACACUAGUUAUAAGCAAUGUUUAUCGCUGUCUCAGCUAGCAUUGUUUGAAUUUUAAUUUAUUAGUAAUAAGUUACUUAUAGAGCCAUGAAAUGUGAAAAAGAAGAAACUCACGAAGAGAGAAGAAAGAUGGAAUAACGAAACUGGUUUUCAUAAUGAUUUGACAGAUUGUUCAAAUUCUGAGAUCAUUGUGAAAGCUAUUUUUUUGUUCCUGUCUCAACAGAUGAAGAUACUAACGCACUCUUCGACAUGAAAACAACAACAACAAGCAACCAAUUAAAAUUAUAAAUAACAUUUCUGUUAUCGUUUGUGACUCUUACUCAUAGAAAUAUCCAUUUAUUGUUUAAUAAUUCGCAAAUGGAUACUUUUAUAAAAUUUUGCAUGAAAGCGCAUAAAAUUGGCUUUGUUUUGUUUAUUGUUAUACUUUUAAUUAACUAGAACUGUGGAAAUAUUAUAUUUGUUUCUUUGUAAGCGUAUGCAAAUGCAUAGUAAACAAAUACUUUCCAGUUAGGCGCCAGCACAAAUAUCACAGACGAUGGAAAAACACUCAGGCGUUUGAAAUAAUUUCUAAUAUUUCAUAAUGUGCUAGCGUUAAGUACCUCCUACAUUUUAUAAAUAACUAAAUAUCCUCUUUAUUUAUUUCUCGAUUCUAGAUCGAGUAUAAUAACCGACAGAAAGCUAUGAGCGAAAUAUUGUACAUAAUAAAUUGAAAGCUGUUAGAAUAUUAAAUGUUCACAGUUUUAUGUUAUACAAGC